GAAGAUCCUGUUGAAGCGUCAUAGCUCUGCGUCACCGCCGGGGGCUUAGAGCUAGGCAGGGAAAAGAAGGGUAUCUGUCAACCCGGAGAAGGAACUUCCGGAAGCAGAGAGUCUGGCAACUUACGUCCCGAAAGCUCCUCCCCCGGCGCGCGGGGGCAGUAGAUCUUUCCAAGGGGGCGACUCUGAGGGCCCGAGGGAGCCGCGGUCCCCUCCAAUAAAACAUUUUGGGGGGCCGCCCCCAAGUUGAUGGGCAUUACUAUUCAAAUAGUGUGCGUGCACCACGUCCUGUGAUUGAGUAUGCGGGACAGUGCUUACCAGCCCCCCCCCAAUAUUUUAUUCACGUUGGCAUAAUAAUAAUAAUAAAUUUUUAUUUAUAUCCCGCCCUCCCCAGCCGAAGCCGGGCUCAGGGCGGCUCACAACAAUAAAAUAAUACAACAUUCUGAAAUCAUUUCAUUAUAAAAUGAAUUCAAAUCAAAUUGAAUAAUAAUAAAUCCCUAAGAUCUUUAUGACGUACCUGUCAACUAUGAUAGCGGAAAGUGGUACCUCCAUGGCCAGGAGCAGCCUAUCUCCUUCUGCCUGAGACAAGCUUUUUAGUUGCCCCUUUGUGAAUAGGGUUUUAUGGAUUGUAAAUGUUUUAUUGAUGAUUUGUUAAAUUUUAGGUAUGAUUUAUGCUGUAUUUCUAAUGCUCUAUUAUGCUUUAUCACGCUACUGUUAUUUAUUGCGUGUAAGCUGCAAUGGAUAACAGCAUAGAAAUGCAAUCAAACCAAGCUUCUAAGGAGGCCUUUUGCUACGGGGUCCUGCCGCUGCACAUCUUUCCAGGCACUUCUGUGGGAAGCAGACCGGAGGGCUCGAUUGGGGUAGGCACCCCCACCCCACAUUCUAGUCCAGCAGAAGCGAGUCUCUUCUCCUGUUUUGCUGCUUGGAAUCUGCUGUGGCUGCAGCAGCUUUAAAUGAAGCCACUUAAUAUUGUUUGCACUGGCUGGCAGCCUGCCCCCCGGGAUUGGAUGCUGGGGACAUUGCCACCUCUACUGGUAGAUGCUGCCUGGGACAACAUGGGUCUUCUGUAUGCCAAGCAUGGGCCCUUCCCUAGAAGUUGGUAUGGAAAAAUUGAGGGGAAUAGGGCUGUAAAAGCCAACCCCAAGUUCUAUGGGUCAGAAAAGCUAGAGUGGAGGCAGGAAGCAAUGGAAAGCAAGGAAUAUCUUUAUUUUUCUGUUGCAGCAGAGUCCUCACCAUCACCUUGCAAGGAGGUGAUGCCCCAGGAUAAAGGUGUGUAAGUGCUUUUGAAGACUUUAGAAGUCGCCCCUUAGCCCAGAGGCUUUCAACUUUUUUGAGUCCACGGCUCCCUUGUCCAACUACAAUCUUUCUGUGUCUCCCCUGAGGGGAAACACUCCAAGCCUCAGAAGCCCAGCUAUGUCACCCCUUGUCUGCAAAACUGACAACCCCUCAGCGUUCCCUCAGGCUCCUCUGCUUUCCCAUCUCCUUGGGAGUCUUCUGGACAGCAGCCACCACUCCACCCCAAAGAGAGGUGUCUCCUAAUGCCGCCGCCCCCCGGGGGGGGGAAAGGAUGCCCCCAGCCUUAGUGGCCUGAUGGAGAAAGAGAUGUGAGUG
Non-coding RNA from Podarcis lilfordi (Lilford's wall lizard), 1608 nucleotides. The record is from the annotation of a GenBank genome assembly. Lineage: Eukaryota; Metazoa; Chordata; Lepidosauria; Squamata; Lacertidae.